AUUGAACGCUGGCGGCAUGCCUUACACAUGCAAGUCGAACAGCAGCACGGGUGCUUGCACCUGGUGGCGAGUGGCGAACGGGUGAGUAAUACAUCGGAACGUACCUUAUCGUGGGGGAUAACGCAGCGAAAGCUGUGCUGAUACCGCAUAAGCCCUGAGGGGGAAAGCGGGGGAUCGAAAGACCUCGCGCGAUUAGAGCGGCCGAUGCCUGAUUAGCUUGUUGGUGGGGUAAAAGCCCACCAAGGCGACGAUCAGUAGCUGGUCUGAGAGGACGAUCAGCCACACUGGGACUGAGACACGGCCCAGACUCCUACGGGAGGCAGCAGUGGGGAAUUUUGGACAAUGGGGGCAACCCUGAUCCAGCAAUGCCGCGUGAGUGAAGAAGGCCUUCGGGUUGUAAAGCUCUUUUGUCAGGGAAGAAACACCGGCUCUAACACAGUCCGGGAAUGACGGUACCUGAAGAAUAAGCACCGGCUAACUACGUGCCAGCAGCCGCCGUAA
Molecule: ribosomal RNA, 501 nt
Filed under: uncultured bacterium
Lineage: Bacteria
Description: partial 16S ribosomal RNA
Rfam family: Bacterial small subunit ribosomal RNA
Source: RNAcentral